GUGCUCACUUUGGCAGCACAUAUGCUAAAAUUGGAAUGAUACAGAGAAGAUUAGCAUGGCCCCUGUGCAAGGAUGACACGCAAAUUCGUGAAGCAUUGCAUUUUUAA
RNAcentral lists this small nuclear RNA (107 nucleotides) under Choloepus hoffmanni (Hoffmann's two-fingered sloth). Lineage: Eukaryota; Metazoa; Chordata; Mammalia; Pilosa; Megalonychidae. The record is from RNAcentral.